GUAGGUGGCAAGCGUUGUCCGGAAUUAUUGGGCGUAAAGCGCGCGCAGGCGGUUCUUUAAGUCUGAUGUGAAAGCCCACGGCUCAACCGUGGAGGGUCAUUGGAAACUGGGGAACUUGAGUACAGAAGAGGAAAGCGGAAUUACCACGUGUAGCGGUGAAAUGCGUAGAGAUGUGGAGGAACACCAGUGGCGAAGGCGGCUUUCUGGUCUGUAACUGACGCUGAGGCGCGAAAGCGUGGGGAGCAAACGAGGGAUUAGAUACCCUGGUAGUCCACGCCGUAAACGAUGAGUGCUAAGUGUUAGGGGGUUUCCGCCCCCUUAGUGCUGCAGCUAACGCAUUAAGCACUCCGCCCUGGGGAGUACGGCCGGCAAGGCUG
Molecule: ribosomal RNA, 377 nt
Filed under: uncultured organism
Description: partial 16S ribosomal RNA
Rfam family: Bacterial small subunit ribosomal RNA
Source: RNAcentral